RNAcentral lists this ribosomal RNA (252 nucleotides) under Triticum aestivum (bread wheat). RNAcentral describes it as "partial small subunit ribosomal RNA". The record is from RNAcentral. Lineage: Eukaryota; Viridiplantae; Streptophyta; Magnoliopsida; Poales; Poaceae.
AUGGCCAGUCCGCUGUCGCCUGUCUUCUUCAUCACCAACUGCCGACGUGAAAGCAGGAAGUCAACUGCGCCUCCGCGCAGGACCACCGGCGCCGUCCGCUUCAUCGUCGUCAUGCACGACCACCAGCGCCGUCCGCAUCAUCAUCAUCACGCACGACCACCGACGUCGUUGUCACGCACGGCCGCCGUCGUCGUUCGCCUCGUCGUCGACUUCAGCCUCGUCUUCUCGGCUACUCGGCGCCGACCUCCGUAG